CUCAGAUGAGCUGAGAAGCCGGGCUGCUUGUUCACCUGAAGAGAGCUUCCAGUCUGCAUGAAAGAUGAUGCCUCAGCCACUCCCAGAGGGCCCCUUAUUUAUUGUUCACUGUAACUUCUCUCUCCUACCAGCAACCAGAGACUGGCUCGAUAGACUUCUGUGAUGACAGGUGACCAAAAGGAUCACUUUCCCCCCAAAAUGCCUUGUUUUGACAGGUAUCUGGAAGAACAAAAAGGCAGCUCUUUUAUUCUAAAUACCAAGGCACUGAAAACAAAGGGAGAACUCUAUGUACGUAUUUAACUCCCUAGGCAAGUGAGCCUCAUGACUUGGGAUCAUUACUUCCUCCAAUGCUAGCCUUAAAUGGAGAACUGUGUUAAUAGUCUCUCAGUAUUUGCUUAAUGGCUUUCAAACUGGUCCAUCUCUCCACGCAAAAGGAAUAUAAAAAUUAAGUCCUGGGGCAGUGGAAAAUAUCCACAUCAGCAGAAGUUGGGACAGUCCUCAAGCAAAGAGAAGAGCAGUAAUGGAAAGUCCCUAAGAGAGGUGGAAGAAGAGAUGAGAGCAAACAGAAGAUGAAGCAGAUGCAAGAAGCAUCUGCUCAGGAAGGUCAGGAAGCAUGAGGAGGAAUGGGAAAAGGAAAUGGUCUGGCUGUAAAGAGAGGCUGAUAUAAACAGGAGAGGGGACAGUCAUGCAUCUGCAUUGCCAUGCCCAGCUUUGCCUUCAGGAGCUCAGGGAUAAUGCUCACAGAUUGAAGAGUGUGCAUGGAGGAGCUAUGCACACAACAUCAGCCACCACAGAACAAACCUUUAGGUGAAAACUCAACAAGAACAGCUGUUUCAAGGAGAGAAAAAAAAAAAAAAAGAUCCACUGCCUUCUGGAUAAAACCAAAAAUUCUGGUCAAAUGUCAGGUACAUCAGCAAAGACAACCAACCCCUGGGCCAACUCACAAGGGCCAGGUUAGUUUUCGUGGCUAAUCAUUUCAAGACUGGGUCUGGAUGCUUCUCUUGGAGGCAAGCGGUAGUUCAAGUACAGAUUUAUGAAAUGCAGGAUUAGCCUGGAGACAAUUCUUACAGCCUCCUCUAGCUUUGUGCACUUACUCAAGACCCAAAGAGGUGGGGAGGUGGGUGAAAGAGGUGGGGCAGGGAAAGAAAGUAAAGAGAUAGAGGGAAACAAAGAAAGCAUGUUGAUAAUCAUAGAAUCACAGAAUGGCCUGGGUUGAAAAGGACCACAAUGACCACCUGGUUUCAACCCCCCUGCUAUGUGCAGGGUCGCCAACCACCAGACCAGGCUGCCCAGAGCCACAUCCAGCCUGGCCUUGAAUGCCUCCAGGGCAUCCACAACCUCCUUGGGCAACCUGUUCAGUGUGUCGCCACACCCUGUGUGAAAAACUUCCUCCUAAUAUCUAGCGUAAACCUCCCUUGUCUCAGUUUAAAACCAUAAUGAACUAGAAUGAGGAAAAACAGCCUAAAAAGAGAAAGCACAAUAUGCAUAAUAAUUUUAUUUCUUCUCAUUGAACACACGUGGGAAAUAAACUGGACAAGAGAAACCAACUCUGUGCAGGAGAAUGGGGCUGGAAAUACAAAAGAAAGCUUUGUUUUUUUUUCUUUGUUUCAGAAUAUUUUUUCAAGGGUGAUUUUUUUCAAGGGUGCAGUUCUUAGCACCAGAGAAGCCAGGUCCAGCUCACCCUGUGGCACAUUUACCACCAGGUGAUGCACGAUGCCUUGUGACAGUAAGGCAGAAAAAUGCUCAACAUGCCCCCCAGCCACGCUUACACUGCAUAAUUCUUGCAGAUGACAAGAAUCCUUAGAGCCAGUGACCUCAUCUCCAAAUGAAAUGUAUAAACAGAUGCUCUUCUAAAGCCACUGUAUUCCUCCACAUGCUGCCUCGAUCGAUACAGCUGUGGUUUACUUACUCCACCGUUCCAAGUUACGUGACGAGGUACAACUGCGAAACUCUACCUGGACUUCAGCACUGGGGGGGGGAAUUGGAUGUGUGCAGGCACGGUGAUGUAUGCAAAAAAGAAAGGAGACACCAGGAUAUGAGGUAUCAGUGUAUGAAAGCACAGGAAGCACAAGACUACCAAUGUGAAGUGUCUCUCAUGGCAUCCUCCAGCAACAGCUCUGGGGUGAAGUGACAGAAUCACAUCAAAUUGGAUUCUCUGCGUAAUGGCACAAAGACCUGAACAUUAUAAUCAGGGGUAGCUAAGCAGGUAAAUUGUAAAGAGCAAAUCUAAAAGUAGUGAUCGAUUCAUUAGCCACAGAAGCUUUGAAACAAGUUCUUUUGUCUUGGUUAUAGUUUCCAUCAAUGAACACAGCAAGGAAGUUGGUUUACUGCAGCAGAGCGUGCUUCUGUUGCCUUUGCUGGUCCAUGAGAGAGAUCAGUUCUCUCAGCAGAUCCCAGCUUACGCCUGGCUUUGCUCUAAAAACCACGUCCAGAAAAACACAAGCAACAGGAAGUUCUCAGUGUGUAAACACAAGGUAAAAGCUUACACUUUCUGCAGCUGAGCACUACCACUAACAACAAUAAAAAGGCAGAAUAUGUGCACAGCAUCAUACCACAUAUAUAAAAAGCCAUAGGCUAAAGCUCAACAUUUGUAGAUAAAUACGACACCUAGAAGUCUUAGGAAAUUAAAACCAGGAGCUUUCUUUUUUUUCUGCAAACCUCCUUUUGCUUUCACCUACAUUCACGUUUCAUGCGCUCAGCUUCUUCAUUCCAAGACAAAGAAAGAAACAAACAUCUGACAGCCUCUUCCCCACCCCUCCAUCUUUUCCUCCUUCAGCCCCAAACGGUCUCUCUGCAGCUGGUGCAAUACUACCCUGGAUCAGCUCCGUGAGCUGCAUUUCCCUGAGCUGCCCCAAGCAGCAUUCACUGUGGAGAUUAUCAGGAAGAGAGACCAAAAUGCUCUUAAUGUAGAGAUAUACUCAAGCGACGAUAGAAUUACUCAGUGAAAUCGAGUGGGGUUAUCAGUGGGGUGCAGUUCUUACUGAGCACUGAGGCGGUUCACUCACACCCCACACACUUUUUAAGUGUUAAACUGCAUAUGCAUUAAAAAUGAAAUGUAUUCCUUCCCAUGUGAGUGUUUCCCUCUGCUUCCAAUCACUCUGCUUCUUGGAGCUCCAUUUCUGGUAAAAGGAACAGUACUUUUGAACCUACCUGUUGCUUUUCAGAUUAAUUUCAC
RNAcentral lists this long non-coding RNA (3175 nucleotides) under Gallus gallus (chicken). Its description in RNAcentral is "lncRNA (ENSGALG00010014600.1)". The record is from RNAcentral. Lineage: Eukaryota; Metazoa; Chordata; Aves; Galliformes; Phasianidae.